CAGAUUAUGGAUUUUUGUGAUCUACAACCUGCAAUACAAUGGAUGUGUUCAUCAGUGACAAUACGUAACUCUCCACCUGGAUUGGAACAUUUGGCUGGGAUAAAUCAAUUAAUAGUGUGUCAACGUUUUGAUUUGGAAGGAAGAAAAAGAUGAAGAGGACAAAAUUUAAUAUAACUCAAAACAUAACAGUAAUGGGUCAACUUCUCUGGAGUCAAAAUUAUACAG
Molecule: non-coding RNA, 225 nt
Organism: Heterocephalus glaber (naked mole-rat)
Lineage: Eukaryota; Metazoa; Chordata; Mammalia; Rodentia; Bathyergidae
Source: RefSeq, a predicted model, not a curated record